This is a long non-coding RNA of Notothenia coriiceps (black rockcod), 618 nucleotides long. RefSeq lists it as uncharacterized. Lineage: Eukaryota; Metazoa; Chordata; Actinopteri; Perciformes; Nototheniidae. The record is from RefSeq and is a predicted model, not a curated record. The transcript has 3 exons.
GCUCCAUUUCCUCCCUCUCUCUCUCUCACAUGGUUUCUGUCUGAGGAGGUUUAGUUUCCUCAGGCUCUGGAUGGGAGAGGGAUGAUGCCAGAAAGCUGCAGGCAGACACACAUGUUCAAAACUUAAGAGGAGCUUUGGGCAGUUUCCUUCUGCACUAAUAGAUUCAAAAGAAUAUAUGAAAUAAUCUACAAAUCAGGCUGCAGAGGUGUCUCUUUUUUGUUGGCCAGACGGAAUAACACUCAAUGUGGCAGAAUCCUCAGGUGUCCGCUUGUUGUUCACCAGUUUUCAAACAUGUGGAAGUAAGACUUUUCGGGACUUUUGGGCGUUCUUCUUUCUUUGGAAAACUGGAAAACCUUUCACGAAUAAGUUUGCUGGCACCUCAAAGGUACAUUGCUGGCUGCCUUUGUUGUUCCUGGACACUUGCUUUGUGGAAAACAAGGUGAAGGGGACUGCAAUAUCACCACCAUCACUUUGAGCAUCAGAACCACAAGUUGUUUAAAAAGGAUUCUUGAGAGAGGAAUCAUGAAAGACAACUAUGGUGGAUACGAGAACCAGCUUUUCAAAGAGGAGGAUUUCACUGGAGAAGAGGAAAUGCCUUCAUUUAGAGGUGAAGGCCAC